UGAAUUGUUUGUAGGUCAAAUUUGCAAAAAGAAAAAUAAAGUGGAAGUAUGACUGCACUACCACCAACAACAAUCAUGGGCCAAAACUAAAAAAAAACCACGCAGCAACAACAAUUGAAAAAAAAAAAGAAAAAAAAAACCUAAGACUAAAAAGAAGAAUGAGGCAGCAUUGAGGACGUGAACCAAAGGAAACACACAGCAUUGAACGAGAGUAGAACAGUAGCGGCAAGAGGACGGAGCAUAAGGCGGAAGAGCAGCAACAUAAUUGGAGGCGACGAUAACCUAACGCAGUAUUAGAGGAUACGCGGACCAAGAAGGACGAAGAACAGAGCCAUAUUAGGCGAAAUUCAUCCAUCUUGAGUUUCUCUGUUUCCCUGAUUUAUUUCAAUCACUAUGUUUAAUUUCAGAUUUUUAUUAUACAAUUGGGUUAAUUUAUUAGUUUAUAUGUCUUGCUAUAUUUGAUGUUUCUAUGUUCUAGGACUAGAUGUAGUAUUUUAUUUUUCUAUCAAUGAGUUGAACUAAGUUGUUUGGAUUGAUUUAUUUUUAUUGCAAUUUGAUAAUCUUGGUUUGUUUUCAUAUAAUUGAUUUGGCCAGUUGAUUAUAUGUUUAAGGUAUUGGAUUAUUAGCGGAAGUGAAAUUUCAAUAUUAGUUCGUAGGAUUAUUAAACUUCAAGUAGUAUAAUUUUAGGAAUAGUUAUGCACUUGGGGUGGUCGUUUACAUGAAUUUCUUGUUUAUAAUGGGUUUAUAUUAAUUGUUAUGACCAAGGAAGUAGGCGUAAGAUUAGUAUAAAUACACAUUUUCUACCUUGGAAGAGGAGAUAAUAUAUCAAAGGAAGUUCGAUCACUGCAAUACAAUAGCUUUUAAUUCGACAACUAGUUUAAUUUCAUUGUAGAAGGUAAUUGACGAAAUCUAAGUGCUAUAACCAUUUCUUAUACUUGAUUUACACCUAUUGUCUAACGUCGUUAGAGUUAGAAUUAGUAUAGUUGUUAUUUUAUUAGUCUAGUUUAUCACCACCAAUCACUAUUUCCGGAUCAUCUAGAUAAUAUUAGUGUCUCUUAAUUUGGUAGUUGAUUAUACCUUCUUGUGGGAAACGAUAUCUUGCUUACCCUAUAUUUACUUUAGUUGACCCGUGCACUUGCUGUAUUUUAGGUAUAUUUAGGACCGACCAGUGCGUGGUCGCUGACCCGAAACAGAGGAGGGAGAGUGUGGUGGGUUGCGAAAAACAGAGGUUUUGGGGGGUGUUUUUGGUAGCGUUUCUCCGGCAAGGAUGGUUGGAUUCCGACGAAGAUAGGGUGAUGGUGCUGAAUUGAGGAAGGCAAUAAUAGAUAUUUAUAAGCAUAGUUGGGGGGUUAAAUUUUAUGAAUUGGGUGGGUUUGAUUUGAUGAAGAAAACUGAAAUUUGGGUGGGUUUGAUUUGGAUUGAGAUUUUUAAUUGAAGAAUAGAUUGUUUGUGUAUAAAAAUUCAUGAGUUGAAUUAAAACUCCAUUGUUGGGUUGUUUGUGAAGAGAAAAUGGAGAUGGGUUGAAACAUAAAUCUAAUUUUGAGUUUUCCUUUUUCUUUUAUUUUCUUUUAUUUUCUCUUUUUCUUUUUUUUUUUAUUCUUAAUACUAACAAAUUUGUUCCACAUUGAAUUAGGAGUACUUGUAAAGUUUUACUAGUUAAUUUGUUUAUUAUUAUUUUAACUAAUGUAAUUAUCUAAUCUAACAUACCUUGUUAUUAUUUACCAACAUAUAUUUAUUUAACGAAUUAAUUAUUACUUUACUUGGAUAUAGAGUAACAAAAUUUAGUCAUACCUUAUAAUUAAAGGAAAAUUUUAAUCACUAAUUAUUAUUGAUUAAUUUAGGCAAGUUUACAUUUUCGGGAUAUUACACCUAAUCUACCAUCUUCGCUAACAAUCAACGAAGACCAACUAAGGUCCUGCACAACCUUAGUUUAUCACAACUCACACUCUUAGUGAGCAUAUCUGCUGGAUUCUUAGCACCCAACACUUUCUCCAGACUCAACUCAUUCUCCUCCACUAAACUCCUGAUGUAGUGAAAGCACAUACGAAUGUGCUUAGUCCUACAUACAUGAGAUUCUUAGCCAAAUGCAAUACACUUUGACUAUCACUAUAAAGUAUCACCUUUUCCUGUUCAAUACCCAUCUCCUCAAGAAAACCGAUAAGCCAUACCAUCUCCUUACUGCCUUAGACAUAGCCACAUACUCAGACUUUGUAGAAGACAAAGAGAUACACUUCUGUAACUUCGACAUCCAACUCACUGUAGUACCUCCUACAGUAGAGACAUAUCCUAACUUGAUUUUGCUUGUAUCGAUAUCUCCACUGAGAUCAGCAUCAACAUAACCCUCAAGCUUUACUCCCUUCUGCCAGAAACAAAGCCCCAUUCUUGAAAUGCCCUUCAAAUACCUUAGUAACCACUUUAUAGUAUCCCAAUGUUUCUCACCUAGAUUAGAAACAAACCUACAAACAACUCCCACUGCAAAAAUAAUGUCUAGACGUGUGCACACCUUGGCAUACAUCAAGCUCCCAAUAGCUGAAGCAUAGGGAACAGUGGCCAUCCGCUCCUUUUCUGCUUAUGUAGUUGAUGAAUGCUCCCUUGUCAAUUUGAGAUCACUAGGAAGCGGUGAAUUUCUAGGUUUAACAUCUCCUACAUUAAACCUCUUCAGCACCUUAAGAAUAUAAUUCUCCCGAGACAACUUCAUCAUACCAGUAGACUUGUCCCUGAAAAUCUUCAUGCCCAAGAUUUGUGUAGAUUCACCCAAAUCCUUCAUCUCAAAUACUAGUGACAGCUUUCCCUUCACACCAUUUAUCACCUCCAUACUUGUACCAGCAAUCAACAUAUCAUCAACAUACAGAUGUAAGUAAACAUAAUCAUUUACAUACCUCUGAAAAAUAACAACAAUGAUCUCUAUCAGCUCUCUUGAACCCACUGCUACACAUGAAAGUGUCAAACUUUAUGUACCACUGUCUAGGAGCCUGCUUCAAUCUGUAUAAGCUCCUCUUGAGCUUGCACACCAAGUUCUCCUUUCCUUGAACUUUAAAGCCAUCUGGUUGCUUCAUGCAGAUCUCCUCAUCCAAAUCACCAUGUAGGAACGCAGUCUUAACAUCCAUCUGUUCUAAGAACAGACUUUCAGCAGGAACAAUAGCUACCAAAAUACGAAUAGUAGUUAACUUCACAACAGGAGCAAAUAUUUCAUUAUAAUCUAUACCCUCUUUUUGUAGGAACCCCUUUACUACCAAUCUCUCCUUAUACCUGACACUUCCAUCAUGCUCUUUCUUCAAUAUGAAGAUCCACUUGUUGCUAAGUGCUCUCAUACUUGCAGGCAAUGCAGACAACUCCCAUGUCUAAUUCUUUUCCAGGGAGUGCAUCUCAUCUUUCAUGGCUAGUUCCCACUUACAUGAAUCAGUCGAAUUUAUUGCUUCCCUGUAUGAUUCUAGUUCACCUGCAUCACUCACUAGCAAAUAAUAAAUAGAAGGUGAAUAUCGAACAGGUGUUUUGGACACCCUUGUGGAUUUUCUCAAGUUAACUUCAGAGACUAUUCUCCCUGUACUAGAACUGGAGCUUCUUGGUUGUAUGACAAUAGCACCCUCUGAAUUACCAGGUUGUGAGAUAUCUGACUCAUCAGAAUCAGACACUGUAGGAGUGUGAACCUCAUUUCUAUGUCGUUCAACCCAUUCUGGAACAAUGACAUUCCUUCCAUCAAUGCCUCGUAUCUCCACAAACUCCUUCUCCUGAACUCCCACUAUCUCAGUAUUCUCAGAUUUAUCACCAUACAUCCUUAUACAACUUAGUCUCAUCAAAUGUGACAUCACAGUGUCUCAAAAUCUUCCUACCUUUAGGUUCCCAACAUCGAUAUCCAUACUUCUUAUAACCAUACCCCCAUAAAAUAACAUUUAACGGCUUUUGGGUCUAAUUGUCACAUUUCUCAGACUGAACAAAUGCAACACAACCAAAUAGUUUUAGAAAAGAAAGAUUUACCUCCUUUCCACUCCAAACCUCCUAUGGCAACUUGAACUCCAAUAGAACUGAUGGUCCUCUGUUGAUCAAAUAAGAUGUUGUACUAACUAAAUCUCCCCAGAACGUCUUAGGUAGCCCUGGAUGCAACCUCAUACUUAUAGCCUUCUUAGUCAAUGUCAUGUUCAUUCUCUCUGCAACACCAUUCUGUCGAGGUUUCCCUGGAACUGUCCUCUUCAGAAUUAUGCCGUUCUGCUCACAAAAUUUUGUAUACUCUGCCAACUCAUACUCACCUCCAUUAUCAGACUUAAUGCACUUAAUCUUCUUUCCAGUCUGAUUCUCGACCUCAUCUUUCCACUUCUUGAAGGUUUCAUAAAGCUCAUAUUUCUUCUUCAUGAAAUAGACCCAUACCUUCCUGCUGUAGUCAUCAAUGAAAGUAACAAAAUACCGUGAGCCUCCAAGGGAUCUGACUGGGGAAGGACCCCAUAAAUCAGUGUGCACUAAUGCUGGCUUCUCAGAUAUAAACUCUUUCUUGGCUUUUGUGAAACUCACCUUUUUCUGCUUGCCAUAAACACAACACUCACAAAAUUUCAUGUCAACUAAUUUCAACUCUGUCAACUUACCACUCGAAACUAAAAUUUUCAUACUCUUCUCACUCAUGUGACCAAGUCUAGUAUGCCAUAACUUGGUCUCAUCCACUUUAGCUGCAGCAAUCAUGUCUGUACACCCUGCAAUAGUGUAUUAAGUUUUGCAUCUUAGUGCCUCUAGCCAAAAUCAUAGAACGUUUGGAAAUCUUCUAUUUUCCCUCAUAGAACACAGUUUCGUAGCCACAUGAGUCCAAUUGACUCACAAAAAUCAGAUUCUUUGCUAGGCCUAGAAUGUACCCAACAUCAUGUAGUUUUAAUAUUCCUCCGUUCGUAGUCCUGACAACCACAUCUCCCUUCCCUAUAAUAUCCAAGGUCUUAUCAUCAGCCAGAUGAACCUUUCCUAACUUCUUAGCCUUGAAGUCAUGAAACCGCUCCCUCAUGGGUGAAGAGUGAAACGAUGUCCCCGACUCUAGGAUCCACGACUCUAUAGAACUAUCAACGCUCAAAAUCAGAGCAUCCUCAACCUCAUUCGAUUCAGAAAAUAUCGAUGAGUUGUCAUUAUCCUCCUAUUUCUCACUAUGGUCAGAUUUUCACCCUUCUUCUUAGGAUGUGGACAAUCCUCUUUGGAUGACCCUUCUCACCACAAUUCCAACAGGUAAAACCAAUCCUACCCUUUGACCACUAGUGGAAAAAUUUGCUUUUGCUACUUAUCAAAUGCUCCGGUUGACUAAUCAACCCGAGCAUUUGCGAAAAAUUUUAAUAAAAAAAUUCACAAAUGCUCGGGUUGAUUAGUUAACCGUAGCAUUUGACAUCAAAUGCUCCAGUUGAUUUAUCAACCCGAGCAUUUGUGAAAAACUAAAAGUAGCAGUGUUUAUUUUCACUCUCCUCAUCAGUCCUCCUUCCCUCUCUAGUGUUUUUACUUUUCCCUCAUUCUGCGUUCUCUCUCCUUCACUCUCCUUCAAACUGCUUCUCUGCCUCUCUCUUCCUUCUUCACUCUCAAAUCCGCUCCUUCGAACGCAUGUCAAGGUAGGUUUUUUUUUGGUUUUUUAAGGAUUUUCUCUUAUUCAAAACUUUAUUUCUCACCUCGAUUCGCCAUUCUAGUAUUAGAUUCCCUCAUGAUAUUUGUGAUUAGGGUUUCAGAAACUUUCUCUUUUAUCUCAUGUUUCUCAAAUUCAUCGCUGAUUGUGACUCGCAGUCGAAUUUUACAAGGAAAAUUGUUGUGGUUUGUGCGUUUUUUCACUAGUAGAAAAAGGACGAUUUGCGUCCCUUCAUUUGCGUCGCACAGAAACGGAAACGACGCACAGUUGGGAUUUGCGUCGCAUGUGUGAAGAUGUGCGACGCAAAUCACAAAAAUAUGCGUCGCACCCUCCUCACAUGCGACGCAAAUUAACAAUGUGCGUCGCACGUGAGGAGAGUGCGACGCAUAUACCGCGCUCGUGUUGAGAAAUAUUUAGACCAAUGUGCGUCGCACCUACGGAGGAUAGGACGCACAUUACUAAUGUGCGUCGCACCUGUAGAGCAUGCGACGCACAUUGGUCUCAAAUACUUAAUGUCUUUUAAAAGGUCUCAAACAGCAGAACCCUAAAUUUCUCUCACCUUCUCUCUCUUCAGCGCCUCUUUCUCUCACACUUUUGUCUCCCUCAAACCCUAAAUUUCUCUCUCACCCUCUCUCUCACCUUCUCUCUUCAGCGCCUCUCUUCAGCGCCUCUUUCUCUCUCAAAUCCGUUCGCCUUCAAGUCUCUCUCAACUCUCUGAAUUCUCUCUCAACUCUCAUAUCAACCGUUCGCCUUCAACGUUCGCCUCACACCGCCUUCGAUUUGAAUCUUCGUAGUAGCAGUAGCCUCACACCGCCGCUUCAAACACCAACGACAUCAGAUUUUUUUAAACUCCUCCGCUUCAAACACCAACAACGAAGAACGAGCACCGAUGAAAAUUGAAAAAACACCUUUCGUUCGUUCGAAGAGCAGCGAAUUUCUCAGAUCUGGUUUUUGGCGAUUUGAAGAAAGAGAUUGAAGAACGAGAUUGAAGAACGAGAUCUGGUUUUUGGCGAAUUUCGUUCGUUCCAUUCGCGUUUUUUUUGUUUUUUUAGAUCUGUCUGUUAGAUUGGUUUUUGGCGAAUUUAGAUCUGUUUUUUUUUAGGUUUAGUUUUUUAAUUUCGUUUUUUUUCUUGUAUGUUAGAUCUGGAUUUUUUUAUUUUUGAUAUUUGUUAGAUUUUUUUCGUUUCUUAAUCGAUGCAAGACAAUUUGUAUGUUAUAUCGUUUAAUUUCGUUUCUGUUACUGCAUUUAAUUUCGUUUAUGUUAUCUCGUUUAAUCGAUGCAAGACAAUUCGUUUCUUCAAUUGCGUUUUCGUUUCUGUUAUUUCUUUACAAUUUGUAUGUCUUGUUUUUUGUCCUCAAAUGCAGUACUAAAGCAUUCAUGCUUUGGUACUGCAUUUUUUUUAUUUUUUACAUGGGUCAUUUGCGUCGCACCGUAUAUACGGUGCGACGCAAAUUGCUAAUAUAUCUGCGUCGUAUGCUGAACGACGCAGAUCAUGUUUGGGCUAUUUGCGUCGAGGCCUUUGGCGUCGCACCCAUGUCCGACGCAAAUGGGCGCCUCAGAUCCGACGCAAAUCGUCGUUUCUGUACUAGUGUUUGUUUUGUCUAUGGUUUGACAAUUUCAUCGGUUUUUUAUUGCGAGAUUUCAUUCGGCUUUGUUCGUAGUUCUAUGAAUAAUCAAGAUGGAUUUUAAUGGAGAUUUGACAUCUCUUGAUGCUGAUCUCUUGAAAUUGCACGAGGUUUCACCUUUGGCUCUCAAACCUAAUCCUUACCUGGCGCAAGAGUGAUUUGAACAGUGGCUUUCGCUUCCUGAAACCAAUUGCCUCGAACUGCAAGAGGACUUUUAUACCUUCACGAAGAUUCAAGAUUGAAGAUUAUCCACCGAGAUCUUAAAAUGAGUAACAUUCUAUUGGACGAAAAUAUGAAUGCAAAAAUAGCAGAUUUUGGAUUGGCCAGACUUGUUGGACGAGAUCAAAUUGAGGCUGAUACUAAUAAGAUUGCAUGAACAUAGCGCUUGCUGGUCGUUCUCAGCAACAGGGGCGAUUGAAGGUAUAAACAAGAUUGUUACAGGCUCUCUUGUCAGCCUUCUGAGCAGGAGUUGAUCGAUUGCGAUAGAGGCUACGAUGAAGGCUGUGAGGGAGGGCUCAUGGACUAUGCUUAUCAGUUUGUUAUAUCUAACCAUGGGAUUGAUACCGAGAACGAUUACCCAUAUGAGGCUAGGCAGAAAUCCUGCAAUAGGAACAAGGUUGUUGCAAUCAAACGACUUGAUCAUAAUGGGCUGCAAGGCAAUAGGGAAUUCCCCGUUGAAGUAUUAAUGCUCAGCCUACUUCACCAUCCAAACCUUGUUAACUUAAUUAGAUACUGUGCUGAUGGAGAUCAAAGGCUUCUUGUGUACGAGUAUAUGCCACUGGGAUCAUUGGAAGACCAUCUAUAUGUAUUGGUAAAGGACAUCCGAUGGUGGACAAGGGUGGGAAGAAAGGCAAAAAUAUGAAGACAUCUAUAGACAAUCCACACUCCAAAAAUUUUUAGUGUUUGUGUUUCUUUGAACCCAUAAUUGUAUUUCUUAUAAUUUGCAAUUGUUGUUUAUUUGUAGUAUUUCUUGUAUUCAGGAACAAAAAUAUUAGAAUUAUAACUUUUUACCUAUAUAUAAUAGAUUAUGUAUUAA
Beta vulgaris subsp. vulgaris (sugar beet) is the source of this 8237-nucleotide RNA transcript. RefSeq lists it as uncharacterized. The transcript is spliced from 6 exons. NCBI's taxonomy places the organism in Eukaryota, Viridiplantae, Streptophyta, Magnoliopsida, Caryophyllales, Amaranthaceae. The record is from RefSeq and is a predicted model, not a curated record.